CUUCAACCUAGCGUUUUCCCGGCCUAGCGCCAGGGUCCGCUUUCCUGCUUAGUCUUCUCUACUUUGCCCGGUCUUCGGCAUCCUCAUCCAGCGCUUCUUAGGCCUACCGCGGCCGCGUGAUCUAGGGCCUUGGACAGUGAGAUUCAGGCAUCUAUUUCCGACGUAGUCUACCGGUCUGCGGCGUAUAUGGCCAUACCAUCGGAGGCGACUUUCCUGCAGCUUAUCCGCUACGUCACGGAUUCCGAGGCUGCCACGGAUGUGUUCG
Molecule: long non-coding RNA, 265 nt
Organism: Cydia amplana
Lineage: Eukaryota; Metazoa; Arthropoda; Insecta; Lepidoptera; Tortricidae
Exons: 2
Source: RefSeq, a predicted model, not a curated record